RNAcentral lists this transfer RNA (77 nucleotides) under Brucella anthropi. RNAcentral's name for it is "tRNA-Arg". It matches the Rfam family "tRNA". From Rfam's summary of the family: Transfer RNA (tRNA) molecules are approximately 80 nucleotides in length. Their secondary structure includes four short double-helical elements and three loops (D, anti-codon, and T loops). Further hydrogen bonds mediate the characteristic L-shaped molecular structure. tRNAs have two regions of fundamental functional importance: the anti-codon, which is responsible for specific mRNA codon recognition, and the 3' end, to which the tRNAs corresponding amino acid is attached (by aminoacyl-tRNA synthetases). tRNAs cope with the degeneracy of the genetic code in two manners: having more than one tRNA (with a specific anti-codon) for a particular amino acid; and 'wobble' base-pairing, i.e. permitting non-standard base-pairing at the 3rd anti-codon position. Lineage: Bacteria; Pseudomonadati; Pseudomonadota; Alphaproteobacteria; Hyphomicrobiales; Brucellaceae. The record is from RNAcentral.
GGUCCCGUAGCUCAGCGGAUGAGAGCAGUGGUCUUCUAAACCGCAGGUCGCAGGUUCGAAUCCUGCCGGGAUCGCCA